This 1292-nucleotide long non-coding RNA is filed under the name Homo sapiens (human). Its description in RNAcentral is "long non-coding RNA NONHSAT148880.1". The record is from RNAcentral. Lineage: Eukaryota; Metazoa; Chordata; Mammalia; Primates; Hominidae.
GACCUGGGCUGUUGUUGCGGUUGUUUUCCUUCUCUCCGUGCAACGCUGGCAAGUCUCAAAAUACUGAAGUACUCUUUCCCAGUGGGACUAAGAACCAGCAGAACAGAUAUACUUUCUCUCAAGAUGUCUCUCCAGCAAAACUUUUCCCCAUGUCCAAGGCCUUGGCUUUCCUCAUCAUUUCCAGCGUAUAUGAGCAAGACACAGUGCUAUCAUACAUCCCCCUGCAGCUUUAAAAAGCAGCAGAAGCAAGCACUUCUAGCCAGACCCUCAAGCACCAUCACUUACCUAACUGACAGCCCAAAGCCAGCAUUAUGUGUAACUCUGGCAGGACUAAUCCCCUUCGUUGCUCCACCACUGGUCAUGCUGAUGACAAAAACUUAUAUUCCCAUAUUAGCUUUUACUCAGAUGGCUUAUGGAGCCAGUUUCCUAUCUUUCUUGGGUGGGAUCAGAUGGGGUUUUGCUCUACCAGAAGGUAGUCCAGCCAAACCAGACUACCUUAAUUUAGCUAGCAGUGCAGCUCCUCUUUUCUUUUCAUGGUUUGCCUUCCUUAUUUCUGAAAGACUUAGUGAAGCCAUAGUCACAGUAAUAAUGGGUAUGGGAGUAGCAUUCCACCUUGAACUUUUUCUCUUACCACAUUAUCCCAACUGGUUUAAAGCCCUGAGGAUAGUAGUCACUUUAUUGGCCACUUUUUCAUUUAUAAUCACUUUAGUAGUUAAAAGUAGUUUUCCAGAAAAAGGACAUAAGAGACCUGGUCAAGUAUAAAAAAUAUAAAAGUCUGGGAAGUGAGGAGCACCUCUGCCCAGCUGCUGCCCCGUCUGGGAAGUGAGGAGCGCCUCUGCCUGGCCGCCUGACCAUCUGGGAAGUGUGACAAGCGCCUCUGCCCGGCCGCUGUGCAACCUUCCACGUGUGAAGUGACAGCCUUGUGUGUGAUCUUUUCUGUCUUCCCCAAGUUUGCAUUUUCGACAUUAAAGUUUACUUUUUAGUUAAAAGUUUUAAAAAUAUAUAUAUAUAAAUACACUGUAGAUAACAUUUGUAUGCCAGCUACACCUUUUUCUACUUCUGUUUGGCUUUUUUUCCCCACACCAAUGGUAAUUUAUCUUCACAGAUUGUUCUUCAUUUCUAGAAAUUGUUACUUCAUGGUAAUUACUUGAGCAAAAGCUUGAAAAUCCCUGACAAGUACUUUUCAUCUCAUAGUAUAUUAGUUUUCACUCAGUCAUUUUAUGAAUAAUAUAGUUAUCCACUUAAACAUUUCAAUAUUUUAACCAUCUUGAAAAUUAAAGAUUAAAAAUCCC